This 518-nucleotide ribosomal RNA is filed under the name Hypseloecus sp. WCW-2003d. RNAcentral describes it as "eukaryotic LSU rRNA". It matches the Rfam family "Eukaryotic large subunit ribosomal RNA", at positions 666 to 1138 of the family's 3401-position model. The record is from RNAcentral. RNAcentral also lists the same sequence under 1 other name. Lineage: Eukaryota; Metazoa; Arthropoda; Insecta; Hemiptera; Miridae.
CCAAGGAGUUCAGCGUGCACGCGAGUCAUUGGGUGGUCAAACCUAAAGGCGAAAUGAAAGUGAAGGAAACUUCCGUUUCUGAGGGAGGAUGAGUCGGUUACCCGCAAGGGGCCGCUCCGCACUCCCGGGGCGUCUCUUUCUCAUUGCGAGUGGAGGCGCACCCAGAGCGUACACGCUGAUACCCGAAAGAUGGUGAACUAUGCCUGGCCAGGACGAAGCCAGGGGAAACCCUGGUGGAGGUCCGCAGCGAUUCUGACGUGCAAAUCGAUCGUCGGAGCUGGGUAUAGGGGCGAAAGACCAAUCGAACCAUCUAGUAGCUGGUUCCCUCCGAAGUUUCCCUCAGGAUAGCUUGCGCUCAUGCGAACGAGUCUCAUCCGGUAGAGCGAAUGAUUAGAGGCCUUGGGGUCGAAACGACCUCAACCUAUUCUCAAACUCCAAAUAGAUGAGAACUCCGGCUUCCUUGAAACAUUUCUAAUGAAGCCGGGGGCUCGGAUCAGAGUGCCAAGUGGGCCAAUUUU